GGUAGCUCAGCCUGGUAGAGCUUCCGGCUGUAGACCGGAGUGUCGCAGGUUCAAAUCCUGCCCGCCCGACCA
RNAcentral lists this transfer RNA (72 nucleotides) under Candidatus Bathyarchaeota archaeon. RNAcentral's name for it is "tRNA-Tyr". It matches the Rfam family "tRNA". Rfam says of the family: Transfer RNA (tRNA) molecules are approximately 80 nucleotides in length. Their secondary structure includes four short double-helical elements and three loops (D, anti-codon, and T loops). The record is from RNAcentral. Lineage: Archaea; Thermoproteati; Candidatus Bathyarchaeota.